CCUACGAGGUGCUGCAGUGAGGAAUAUUGGUCAAUGGGCGCUAGCCUGAACCAGCCAAGUAGCGUGAAGGAUGACUGCCCUAUGGGUUGUAAACUUCUUUUAUAUGGGAAUAAAGUGCAGUAUGCAUACUGCCUUGUAUGUACCGUAUGAAUAAGGAUCGGCUAACUCCGUGCCAGCAGCCGCGGUAAUACGGAGGUGCCGAGCGUUAUCCGGAUUUAUUGGGUUUAAAGGGAGUGUAGGCGGGUUGAUAAGUCAGUUGUGAAAGUUUGCGGCUCAACCGUAAAAUUGCAGUUGAUACUGGCAUCCUUGAGUACAGGAGAGGUAGGCGGAAUUCGUGGUGUAGCGGUGAAAUGCUUAGAUAUCACGAAGAACACCGAUUGCGAAGGCAGCCUGCUGGACUGUAACUGACGCUGAUGCUCGAAAGUGUGGGUAUCAAACAGGAUUAGAUACCCUAGUAGUC
RNAcentral lists this ribosomal RNA (460 nucleotides) under uncultured bacterium. RNAcentral's name for it is "partial 16S ribosomal RNA". It matches the Rfam family "Bacterial small subunit ribosomal RNA", at positions 338 to 795 of the family's 1533-position model. The record is from RNAcentral.